UCGAAGCCUCACAAGCAGCGUGACCCUGUGAAUUUGUUUGAAUACUCAGGGGUGGCUAGAGGUGUUCUGCAUCUCGGUCCCCCUCGUGUCGGGAGGUGCCCCACCUUGUGUGGUCUCCUCCUGGCCCAAUAACAAAACCCCGGCGCCGAACGCGCCAAGGAAAAUGAAAUCGUUUAGUACGCCCCUGUCGGCCCGGAGACGGUGCACGUGCGGGCGGUGUUGCGACACGUAUAUCCUAA
RNAcentral lists this ribosomal RNA (239 nucleotides) under Retama monosperma. Lineage: Eukaryota; Viridiplantae; Streptophyta; Magnoliopsida; Fabales; Fabaceae. The record is from RNAcentral.